AAUAUUGGACAAUGGGCGAAAGCCUGGUCCAGCCAUGCCGCGUGUGUGAAGAAGGUCUUCGGAUUGUAAAGCACUUGAAGUUGGGAGGAUGGGUAGUAGGUUAAUACCCUGCAGUUUUGACGUUACCAACAGAAUAAGCACCGGCUUAUUUCGUGCCAGCAGCCGCGGUAAGACGAAGGGUGCAAGCGUUAAUCUGAAUUACUGGGCGUAAAGCGCGCGUAGGUGGUUCGUUAAGUUGGAAGUGAAAGCCCCGGGCUUAACCUGGGAAUUGCUUUCAAAACUGACGAGCUAGAGUACGGUAGAGGGUAGUGGAAUUUCCUGUGUAGCGGUGAAAUGCGUAGAUAUAGGAAGGAACAUCAGUGGCGAAGGCGACUACCUGGACUGAUACUGACACUGAGGUGCGAAAGCGUGGGGAGCAAACAGG
Molecule: ribosomal RNA, 424 nt
Filed under: uncultured bacterium
Lineage: Bacteria
Description: partial 16S ribosomal RNA
Rfam family: Bacterial small subunit ribosomal RNA
Source: RNAcentral